This 80-nucleotide transfer RNA is filed under the name Phacus pleuronectes. RNAcentral describes it as "tRNA-Leu". It matches the Rfam family "tRNA". Rfam says of the family: Transfer RNA (tRNA) molecules are approximately 80 nucleotides in length. Their secondary structure includes four short double-helical elements and three loops (D, anti-codon, and T loops). Lineage: Eukaryota; Euglenozoa; Euglenophyceae; Euglenales; Phacaceae. The record is from RNAcentral.
UCCUUUAUGGUGAAAUGGUAGACACGUAUGAUUCAAAAUUAUAUGCUAAAAGCGUGCCGGUUCAAGUCCGGUUAAAGGUA